AACGAACGCUGGCGGCAUGCCUAACACAUGCCAGUCGAACGAGACCUUCGGGUCUAGUGGCGCACGGGUGCGUAACGCGUGGGAACCUGCCCUUAGGUUCGGAAUAACUCCCCGAAAGGGGUGCUAAUACCGGAUAAUGUCUUCGGACCAAAGAUUUAUCGCCUUUGGAUGGGCCCGCGUUGGAUUAGCUAGUUGGUAGGGUAAAAGCCUACCAAGACGACGAUCCAUAGCUGGUCUGAGAGGAUGAUCAGCCACACUGGGACUGAGACACGGCCCAGACUCCUACGGGAGGCAGCAGUGGGGAAUAUUGGACAAUGGGCGAAAGCCUGAUCCAGCAAUGCCGCGUGAGUGAUGAAGGCCUUAGGGUUGUAAAGCUCUUUUACCCGGGAUGAUAAUGACAGUACCGGGAGAAUAAGCUCCGGCUAACUCCGUG
This 433-nucleotide ribosomal RNA is filed under the name uncultured bacterium. RNAcentral's name for it is "partial 16S ribosomal RNA". It matches the Rfam family "Bacterial small subunit ribosomal RNA", at positions 29 to 507 of the family's 1533-position model. The record is from RNAcentral.